Molecule: ribosomal RNA, 922 nt
Filed under: Diemenoma sp. COL158
Lineage: Eukaryota; Metazoa; Arthropoda; Insecta; Coleoptera; Tenebrionidae
Description: SSU rRNA
Rfam family: Eukaryotic small subunit ribosomal RNA
Source: RNAcentral
GCCAUGCAUGUCUCAGUACAAGCCAAAUUAAGGUGAAACCGCGAAAGGCUCAUUAAAUCAGUUAUGGUUCCUUAGAUCGUACCCACAUUUACUUGGAUAACUGUGGUAAUUCUAGAGCUAAUACAUGCAAACAGAGCUCCGACCGGAGACGGAAGGAGCGCUUUUAUUAGAUCAAAACCAAUCGGUGGCGGUUUCCGUCAUCGUACAACUUGGUGACUCUGAAUAACUUUACGCUGAUCGCACGGUCUUGCACCGGCGACGCAUCUUUCAAAUGUCUGCCUUAUCAACUGUCGAUGGUAGGUUCUGCGCCUACCAUGGUUGUAACGGGUAACGGGGAAUCAGGGUUCGAUUCCGGAGAGGGAGCCUGAGAAACGGCUACCACAUCCAAGGAAGGCAGCAGGCGCGCAAAUUACCCACUCCCGGCACGGGGAGGUAGUGACGAAAAAUAACGAUACGGGACUCAUCCGAGGCCCCGUAAUCGGAAUGAGUACACUCUAAACCCUUUAACGAGGAUCAAUUGGAGGGCAAGUCUGGUGCCAGCAGCCGCGGUAAUUCCAGCUCCAAUAGCGUAUAUUAAAGUUGUUGCGGUUAAAAAGCUCGUAGUCGAAUCUGUGUCCCGCGCCGCCGGUUCAUCGUUCGCGGUGUUAACUGGCGUGCCGCGGGACGUCCUGCCGGUGGGCUUAGCUCGCGAGGGCGGCCCAACUCAAUCCCGCCGCGGUGCUCUUCAUUGAGUGUCGAGGUGGGCCGGCACGUUUACUUUGAACAAAUUAGAGUGCUUAAAGCAGGCUAAAACUUUGCCUGAAUACUGUGUGCAUGGAAUAAUGGAAUAGGACCUCGGUUCUAUUUUGUUGGUUUUCGGAACCCCGAGGUAAUGAUUAAUAGGAACGGAUGGGGGCAUUCGUAUUGCGACGUUAGAGGUGAA